Molecule: ribosomal RNA, 893 nt
Filed under: Levilactobacillus brevis
Lineage: Bacteria; Bacillati; Bacillota; Bacilli; Lactobacillales; Lactobacillaceae
Description: bacterial SSU rRNA
Rfam family: Bacterial small subunit ribosomal RNA
Source: RNAcentral
CCCCCUAGAAGUUUUUUUCUGCUCAGGACGAACGCUGGCGGCAUGCCUAAUACAUGCAAGUCGAACGAGCUUCCGUUGAAUGACGUGCUUGCACUGAUUUUAACAAUGAAGCGAGUGGCGAACUGGUGAGUAACACGUGGGAAAUCUGCCCAGAAGCAGGGGAUAACACUUGGAAACAGGUGCUAAUACCGUAUAACAACAAAAUCCGCAUGGAUUUUGUUUGAAAGGUGGCUUCGGCUAUCACUUCUGGAUGAUCCCGCGGCGUAUUAGUUAGUUGGUGAGGUAAAGGCCCACCAAGACGAUGAUACGUAGCCGACCUGAGAGGGUAAUCGGCCACAUUGGGACUGAGACACGGCCCAAACUCCUACGGGAGGCAGCAGUAGGGAAUCUUCCACAAUGGACGAAAGUCUGAUGGAGCAAUGCCGCGUGAGUGAAGAAGGGUUUCGGCUCGUAAAACUCUGUUGUUAAAGAAGAACACCUUUGAGAGUAACUGUUCAAGGGUUGACGGUAUUUAACCAGAAAGCCACGGCUAACUACGUGCCAGCAGCCGCGGUAAUACGUAGGUGGCAAGCGUUGUCCGGAUUUAUUGGGCGUAAAGCGAGCGCAGGCGGUUUUUUAAGUCUGAUGUGAAAGCCUUCGGCUUAACCGGAGAAGUGCAUCGGAAACUGGGAGACUUGAGUGCAGAAGAGGACAGUGGAACUCCAUGUGUAGCGGUGGAAUGCGUAGAUAUAUGGAAGAACACCAGUGGCGAAGGCGGCUGUCUAGUCUGUAACUGACGCUGAGGCUCGAAAGCAUGGGUAGCGAACAGGAUUAGAUACCCUGGUAGUCCAUGCCGUAAACGAUGAGUGCUAAGUGUUGGAGGGUUUCCGCCCUUCAGUGCUGCAGCUAACGCA